This 337-nucleotide unclassified non-coding RNA is filed under the name soil metagenome. Its description in RNAcentral is "partial contains 5.8S ribosomal RNA, internal transcribed spacer 2, and large subunit ribosomal RNA". The stretch from base 1 to 121 matches the Rfam family "5.8S ribosomal RNA", at positions 35 to 154 of the family's 154-position model. The record is from RNAcentral.
GAUGAAGAACGCAGCGAAUUGCGAUAAGUAAUGUGAAUUGCAGAUUUUCAGUGAAUCAUCGAAUCUUUGAACGCACAUUGCGCCCCUUGGUAUUCCAUGGGGCAUGCCUGUUCGAGCGUCAUUUGUACCUUCAAGCUUUGCUUGGUGUUGGGUGUUUGUCUCGCCUUUGCGUGUAGACUCGCCUUAAAAUAAUUGGCAGCCGGUGUAUUGAUUUCGGAGCGCAGUACAUCUCGCGCUUUGCACUCAUAACGACAGCGUCCAAAAGUACAUUUUACACUCUUGACCUCGGAUCAGGUAGGGAUACCCGCUGAACUUAAGCAUAUCAAUAAGCGGAGGA